UUUUUUCAUUAAUUUUGUAUUGUCAUUGGGGAGAAUAAACCCACCAAUUCCAAAUUAUUGAAAUCAAUAUCAGUUAACAUAUGAAAUGUUUCAUGUAUUGGGGAAUAGGGCAUCCGAAGACACCACAAAUUUAGUUUAAAGUCCGUGGGACGCAAAAGUCAGACUUGACCCGAAAGUCGCAUCCUUCUCUUGUUUUUUUAACAGGUACUGAUUCAUACUAAUCACUAGGAUCAAUAUAAUUCAAGUCUCUGAGAAAAAGAGGUGUGGUAAUGAUCCUUCCGCAGGUUCACCUACGGAAA
Molecule: unclassified non-coding RNA, 299 nt
Filed under: uncultured fungus
Lineage: Eukaryota; Fungi
Description: sequence contains ITS1
Source: RNAcentral